GAUGAACGCUGGCGGCGUGCCUAAUACAUGCAAGUCGAGCGAACAGACGAGGAGCUUGCUCCUCUGACGUUAGCGGCGGACGGGUGAGUAACACGUGGAUAACCUACCUAUAAGACUGGGAUAACUUCGGGAAACCGGAGCUAAUACCGGACAAUAUAUUGAACCGCAUGGUUCAAUAGUGAAAGACGGUUUUGCUGUCACUUAUAGAUGGAUCCGCGCCGCAUUAGCUAGUUGGUAAGGUAACGGCUUACCAAGGCAACGAUGCGUAGCCGACCUGAGAGGGUGAUCGGCCACACUGGAACUGAGACACGGUCCAGACUCCUACGGGAGGCAGCAGUAGGGAAUCUUCCGCAAUGGGCGAAAGCCUGACGGAGCAACGCCGCGUGAGUGAUGAAGGUCUUCGGAUCGUAAAACUCUGUUAUUAGGGAAGAACAAAUGUGUAAGUAACUAUGCACGUCUUGACGGUACCUAAUCGGAAAGCCACGGCUAACUACGUG
This 497-nucleotide ribosomal RNA is filed under the name uncultured bacterium. Its description in RNAcentral is "partial 16S ribosomal RNA". It matches the Rfam family "Bacterial small subunit ribosomal RNA", at positions 28 to 507 of the family's 1533-position model. The record is from RNAcentral.